Molecule: ribosomal RNA, 499 nt
Filed under: uncultured bacterium
Lineage: Bacteria
Description: bacterial SSU rRNA
Rfam family: Bacterial small subunit ribosomal RNA
Source: RNAcentral
GAAAGCGAUGCUAAUACCGGAUAAUAUCUUAAAAACCUCGGUUUUAAAGAUCAAAGGUGGCCUCUACAUGUAAGCUUCUGUUUGGGGAUGAGCCCGCGUACCAUUAGCUUGUUGGUAGGGUAAUGGCCUACCAAGGCUGCGAUGGUUAGCUGGUCUGAGAGGAUGAUCAGCCACACUGGAACUGACACACGGUCCAGACUCCUACGGGAGGCAGCAGUGAGGAAUUUUGCGCAAUGGGGGAAACCCUGACGCAGCAACGCCGCGUGAGUGAUGAAGGCUUUCGGGUCGUAAAGCUCUGUCAAGUGGGAAGAACCCACAUGGUGAUAAUACCGCCAUGUGUUGACGGUACCACUGAAGGAAGCACCGGCUAACUCCGUGCCAGCAGCCGCGGUAAUACGGGGGGUGCAAGCGUUAUUCGGAAUUACUGGGCGUAAAGAGCGCGUAGGCGGUCUCGUAAGUCGGGUGUGAAAGCCCGGGGCUCAACCCCGGAAGUGCAUCC